CCUUUUGGUGAUCGUACUGCAAACCGACUCAGGUGGACGGGGUGAAUAUCCCAAGGCGCGUGAGAGAACCCUGGUUAAGGAACUCGGCAAAUUGACACCGUAACUUCGGGAGAAGGUGUGCCGCUGGCGGUUAGUGACUUCGCGUCACGAAGCUGUUGGUGGUCGCAGUGAAAUGGCGGUUGUGACUGUUUACUAAAAACACAGGACUCUGCGAAGUCGUAAGACGACGUAUAGGGUCUGAUGCCUGCCCGGUGCUGGAAGGUUAAGGGGAUAUGUCAGCGCAAGCGAAGCAUUGAACCGAAGCCCCAGUAAACGGCGGCCGUAACAAUAACGGUCCUAAGGUAGCGAAAUUCCUUGUCGGGUAAGUUCCGACCUGCACGAAGGGCAUAACAACAUCCGCACUGUCUCGACCAGGGACUCAGCGAAAUUACAUUGGGGGUGAAGAUGCCCUCUACCCGCGGAAAGACGGAAAGACCCCAUGAACCUUUACUGCAACUUGGCAGUGAUUUUCGGGUUGUUCUGCGUAGGAUAGGUGGGAGGCUUUGAAGCCGGGCUUCCGGGUUCGGCAGAGCCAACGUUGAAAUACCACCCUGAAUAAUCUGGAAAUCUAACCUGCGCCCAUGAUCUGGGCGAGGGACACUGCCUGGUGGGCAGUUUGACUGGGGCGGUCGCCUCCUAAAUUGUAACGGAGGCGUGCGACGGUUCCCUCAGGCUGAUUGGAAACCAGCCGUAGAGUGCAAACGCAUAAGGGAGCUUUACUGCGAGACUGACAAGUCGACCAGUUGCGAAAGCAGGUGUUAGUGAUCCGGUGGUACCACAUGGAAGGGCCAUCGCUCAUCGGAUAAAAGGUACUCUGGGGAUAACAGGCUGAUCGCGCCUGAGAGUUCACAUCGGCGGCGCGGUUUGGCACCUCGAUGUCGGCUCAUCGCAUCCUGGGGCUGGAGCAGGUCCCAAGGGUUUGGCUGUUCGCCAAUUAAAGCGGUACGCGAGCUGGGUUUAAAACGUCGUGAGACAGUUUGGUCCCUAUCUUCCGUGGGCGCAGGAUACUUGAGAGGAGCUAUCCAUAGUACGAGAGGACCUGGAUGGACGAACCUCUGGUGCUCCGGUUGUCACGCCAGUGGCAUAGCCGGGUAGCCAUGUUCGGAACAGAUAACCGCUGAAGGCAUAUAAGCGGGAAGCUGGCCUCAAAACUAGGUAUCCCUGACGCAAGUCACUAAAGGCCCCUCGAAGACUACGAGGUUGAUAGGCUCGGUGUGGAAGCACAGCGAUGUGCGGAGCUAACGAGUACUAAUAGGCCGUGCGGCUUGACCUC
Molecule: ribosomal RNA, 1312 nt
Filed under: metagenome
Description: bacterial LSU rRNA
Rfam family: Bacterial large subunit ribosomal RNA
Source: RNAcentral